Zalophus californianus (California sea lion) is the source of this 1590-nucleotide long non-coding RNA. RefSeq lists it as uncharacterized. The transcript is spliced from 3 exons. NCBI's taxonomy places the organism in Eukaryota, Metazoa, Chordata, Mammalia, Carnivora, Otariidae. The record is from RefSeq and is a predicted model, not a curated record.
CUUGAUGUAUGUAGAGGCUGAAUACUUCUGUGGGGGCUGGUCUUUAAUUUAGAAGCCAUUUCAGACUGGCAGAUGGUAGAGGGAUAGAUAGAAAUGUGACAAAGCAAAUACAACAAAAUGUUAAUUGUAGAAUCUAGGUCAUGGGUAUAUGGGUGUUCACUGAACCCUUUUUUCACCGUUUCUGUAUGUUUGAAAUUUUUCAAAAUAAAAUGUUGUGGGGAGAAAGACCUCACCUGCCAGUCCAGCUGAACACAUUCUGUUUCCUCAGUCACUAAGCUGGAAAAAGUGUCCAGAUCCACUCUGGGUGGGUCUCCCUAAGCCCAGCCUGGGGGACCGCCCCCCUCCACAAAGGGAAUCGGGACACUGGGCUCCAGUCCCAGCUCUGCCAGUGACUUGCUGGGUGUCCUUGAGCAAGUCAUUGCCUCUUCCACACCCCACACCUUGUGAUGUAACUUUAUACACAACCCUCCAGGACAGGACAAAAAUCCCUGGAUUUGGGGGUUGCUGGAGCUGUAUUUUAAUGGAUUGCUCCCAACCCCAAGAACGGUUCUGGUAGAACCUAACAGCCUGGGCUCUGGCGUGCAGCGACUCGCGGGGCCCUGGUGGGCCAGGUGGCAGCAACUUCGGAGAAUUCGCCAAGCUGAGUGAGGCUCCGCCCCGCGGGGCAGGUGUGGGUGGGGUUUGCUCGAGGAGCCACGCCCACCGCCUGUAGACCCUGCCCCUUCCCGCGUUGGCCGGCGGAGGGCGGGUCCCUCGCUGUAGCUCCCCCUGCAGGGCAGGGCCGAGGAGCCCGCAGGGAGCCGGCGCAGCAGGACGUGUUCCCAGAAUGGGAUGACCGAGUCAAAGGACACGGACAGUUUCAUGACACGCAGCACACAGAGCAUGCCUCUCCAGCCAGGCACGAGUGUGUCGGCUGUGCUGGUCGCCACCACAACCGGAAGCUGUGCGUCGGGGUCUCUGAGACCACCCCCCAAGAACGUUCUCGAGAUUCAUCCAUGUGGUAGCAUGCCUCGGUACUUCAUUCCUUUUUGUGGGUGAAAAUUUCCCAUCAUGUGGAUAUACACCCACGUUCACAGCACCGUUCGUCACCAUAGCUAUAACACGGAAGCAAUCCAUGGGUCCAAUGACAGAGGAAUGGAUGAACAAAAUGUGGUCUAUACCUACAACGGGAUGUUACUCAGCCUUUCCAAGGAAGGAAAUUCUGCCAUCUACCGCAAUGUGAAUGAAUCUUGAGGAUAUUGUGCUAAGGGCUGAAAUAAGCCAGUCACAAAAAGGCAGAUACUGGGUGAUUCCACUUACGGAGGUACUUAGAAUUGUCAGAAUCGUGGACAGAACAUGGAAUGAUGGGUUCCAGCGGCUGUGUAGGGAGAGGGAACUUGUUUAAUAGGGACAGAGUUUCAGUGUUACGAGACAAGAAAAUCCCAGAGGUGGAUGAUGAUGGUUGCACAUUAUGAAUAUAUUUAAUACCAUCAAACUGUACAUUCAAAAUGGUGAAGACGGUAAAUUUUGUUAUGUGUAUUUUACCACAAUAAAAAAAAUUUUUCUUAAAAACUAAGUUGAGGGGAAGUUGGCAGAGUUUCCAUCAGUCAA